RNAcentral lists this ribosomal RNA (492 nucleotides) under uncultured bacterium. RNAcentral's name for it is "partial 16S ribosomal RNA". It matches the Rfam family "Bacterial small subunit ribosomal RNA", at positions 29 to 507 of the family's 1533-position model. The record is from RNAcentral.
AGUGAACGCUGGCGGUAUGCCUAACACAUGCAAGUCGAACGGCAGCACCGUAAGAGCUUGCUCUUACGGGCGGCGAGUGGCGGACGGGUGAGGAAUACAUCGCAAUCCACUUUUUCGUGGGGGAUAACGUAGGGAAACUUACGCUAAUACCGCAUACGACCUACUGGUGAAAGCAGGGGAUCUUCGGACCUUGCGCGAUUGAAUGAGCCUAUGUCGGAUUAGCUAGUUGGCGGGGUAAAGGCCCACCAAGGCGACGAUCCGUAGAUGGUCUGAGAGGAUGAUCAGCCACACUGGAACUGAGACACGGUCCAGACUCCUACGGGAGGCAGCAGUGGGGAAUCUUGGGCAAUGGGCGCAAGCCUGAUCCAGCAAUACCGCGUGGGUGAAGAAGGCCUUCGGGUUGUAAAGCCCUUUUGUUGGGAAAGAAAAGCAGCAGGUUAAUACCCCGCUGUUCUGACGGUACCCAAAGAAUAAGCACCGGCUAACUUCGUG